CCGGGCGUGGCGGCAUACGCCGAUAGCCCCAGCUACUCGGGAGGCCGAGGCAGGAUAAUUGCUUGAAUCCGGAGGGAAGUGGAGGUUUCAGAUCAAGAAGGAAGGAAGGAAAAAGAAAUAGACUUUGCAAGUUAGUAGUUCUGUGACAGAAUUCCAGUGUGUGUAAGACCCUCAGGCAUUCCUCCGAUCCAAACCAAAAGCUGUCUGCAAAGGAUUGUUUUCACAGGAGCAAACCAAGACUUUAUUUCCAGUUUUAUAACCUGCCUUGGGGUCUUGGACUAGGAAGCUAACAGACACAGAAAGCUGAGAUUGUGCAAAGACAGGAUCAACCAUCCACUCCGAGCUCUGGGAGCACGUGAAAUGCGAUUUGAUGUCACCACCACCGUCCGCAGUUCAGUCACAGUUCAUGUGUGGAACGUAACCUGCACAGACGUGAGUUUGCUGACACCCAAGACCUUUUGCACUGAGGAACAGUAGAUAACACUUCAACCCUGUGUGUGUGGGCCAUUUAAAAAAGCAAAACCACCACCAAAAAAAAGGAAAAAAUUAGAAAGAUGUGGCGCUAAACAGACCAAGAAAUGAACCCUUGUUUACAGGUAUUCACUGUGAACGGCCGGGGAAAAAUCUUCAGGAUUAUGAAACCAGGCUGCUACGGACUUAUUCUGAGUUUUUUUAAUUUCAAUUUUUUUAAAGCAUGUUAAUUUCAAUAAAUUGUUACUUAAUUUAGUUCACAUGUAUUUGAUAUGGCUUAAGGAGUUUUUAUUGAGGAUUAGUAUACAUACAGAAAAGUGCAUAUAUACGUUUACAGCUUGAUGAAUUUUCACAAACUGAACCGCCUUGUGGAAUGAACACUCAGUAACAGUGGCACCAGCGUCCUGGGGGUUCCCUUCAACCCCACUUCCAGGCCCAAAAUGAAAAUGCCAAGUAUCUAUGAAGACUCAGAGCAACCUGAACUCCCAUAGAGUUGCUGGUGGGAAUGGAAAAUGAUACAACCACUUUGGAAAACAGUUUGGCAGUUAAACAUACAUAUAUAUGACCCAGCAGUCCCACUCAGGUAUUUACUCUAGGGAAAGGAAAACAUAUGUCCACACGAAUAUCUGUAGGAAGCAUUUAUAGCAGCUGUAUUCGUAA
Piliocolobus tephrosceles (Ugandan red Colobus) is the source of this 1131-nucleotide long non-coding RNA. RefSeq lists it as uncharacterized. NCBI's taxonomy places the organism in Eukaryota, Metazoa, Chordata, Mammalia, Primates, Cercopithecidae. The transcript has 3 exons. The record is from RefSeq and is a predicted model, not a curated record.